CAUUAAGAAGCUAUGAAUCAGCAUUAGCCUUUUAAGCUAAAGAAAGAGGGCUACAUCCCUCCUUAAUGG
Molecule: non-coding RNA, 69 nt
Organism: Lonchura striata (white-rumped munia)
Lineage: Eukaryota; Metazoa; Chordata; Aves; Passeriformes; Estrildidae
Source: Ensembl